Molecule: long non-coding RNA, 1550 nt
Filed under: Harpegnathos saltator (Jerdon's jumping ant)
Lineage: Eukaryota; Metazoa; Arthropoda; Insecta; Hymenoptera; Formicidae
Description: uncharacterized LOC112589193, transcript variant X2
Source: RNAcentral
CUUUCUGGAUUCGUAAGCUUCGUAUCUCUGUCAAAGGCGACGGUCGACGGUCGCACGGUAUCUUUAGUGUCUUCCAAUAAAUGCUCGAUACUUCUUUACCGCGUCGCGUGUUUUACGCCGGGAUUAUCGUCAUCAUCGUUAGUGAUCGACAUCGUCAUCGUCAGUGAAAGGAUUUGGAGAACAAUUGGCGGACACGCACGAGGGAUGCACUUCCGACGGAUGCAGAUGCAGCACCGGAGGACCCGGUUCGAGCUGAGCGGGGUCGGUUGGAAGGUUUCACCGACUACCUCUAUAUUCCUCUGUUUAACUCCUUCCCCCUCCCCCUCCUCCUCUCUCCUCCUCCUCCUCCUCCUCCGUUCUGCCGUGCGGACGAAAGACGAGGACGAAGCCGUCAGCACGAGACUCGAAUUACGACCGUAAAGGGCUAAUUUAGCGAUCCGGCCGUGGCCGAGCCUGAAGCUACUUCACCGGGUGGAGCAUAAUUAUGAGGGGAUAAUUUGCCGUAUAAUUAUAAUAAAGAGAGAAAUCUGACGCACACACAGAGAAGUCGCGUACGUGAAUAAAGAAUAAAAGAUAACUCGAUGUCUUACCGAUCAUCGUACUUGAGACUUGUCAUUGUUAUUGACGUUGUUAUUAUUAAUGUAUACCACUACUUCGCUCGACGACUUAGUUCUCUCACAAUGGUACGAGUACCGUCGAAUGAAAUAUGACCUUUUAAUUCUGCAAGAUACGUCGGCGGGAACCGAAAAUUGCUCGCCGCCGCACGUGACACUCGCGGUAAUCUCGUUCGUGUUAAUCGAUUUUCCGAUCGUCGGCAGUCUUCUCCAGUUUUCUCACUCACGGAGAAACAAAGAGAUUUCGCGACAGAGCCGCGAUUGUUCGUUGCUCGCGCGUAUAAUUGUUCGCGAUACGGAACUCGAAUCAUAUUCUUCUGUCGCAUUUCGGGAAAUUGCGACACUUUUAAAACUUUUAAAUGACUUUUCAACAAUCCUCACUUUACGACCGCAUCUUUGCAUUCUGUGUAAAUAAAUCGAUACUUGCAACACCGACGAGAGAGAACCGAUCGACGAGAGAGAAUAUCGGAAAGAUACUUUUAGUUCGCUCACACAAUCUAUAAUCAUCCAAUUGUUUCGACAAUCAUAUGAUUGAUUUUACAUACGCAAAACAUCUCAUUUUCUCGCCAGAGAAUAAGUAAUAAAAACAAUCGACGAUGUUGCAAAGAGAUAUCGAUACUAUAUUAUAUCGCGAUAACAAAGUAUCACGUGUAAAACAGCAGCGGAUCGUAUUGUAAUUAUCGAAUUAUGCAUAAAAACAACGCAAAAGAGUGGAAUUAUAAGACGCGGAUUAUUUUAUAAAUCUUCGCGUAAUGCGCACGCAGACACGCACAUUGUAAAUGAUCGCGCGACAAUUUUCUAUGAAAUCUGCUUCGUUCGUCGUACUUCUCUCGGUAUAGGUUCGACAAUUGCGGCGAUAUUUCGGUAGCCACGACUCGCGGCGAGCCGAUUAUAACCCGUUUGUUAUGUUUACACAUUCCCGUCGCGAUUACGUCG